GCAACACCAUAAAAUAACAAACAUGGGUAAUACUAAAGCUUUGAAUUUUAUUUCUUAUUGAUAAACUUCUUACAACAAUUACAACAUAGGUGUCUACAAAAGAAAAGGACAGAAGAUAAAUUGGCUAAAAGGUCAAUCCUUGGCUGAUGAAGCUUUGGCACUCGAUAUUUGUCCAGCUGAAGUCAUUAAUGCCUUCUCAUCUACCAAACUUGUAGUGGGUGUUAGAUGUGUAACUUGAAAAGCCAAUUCAGGAAAAAACCUCCUAACUAGCCUUCGACAUUCCUCAAAGCCAAGGUCAAUUGAUUGGAUCGAUACAUCACCAAUUACGACGAUCGUAUCAC
This 341-nucleotide long non-coding RNA is filed under the name Elaeis guineensis (African oil palm). Its description in RNAcentral is "long non-coding RNA (EGUI_LNC020245)". The record is from RNAcentral. Lineage: Eukaryota; Viridiplantae; Streptophyta; Magnoliopsida; Arecales; Arecaceae.